Molecule: ribosomal RNA, 497 nt
Filed under: uncultured bacterium
Lineage: Bacteria
Description: partial 16S ribosomal RNA
Rfam family: Bacterial small subunit ribosomal RNA
Source: RNAcentral
GAUGAACGCUGGCGGCGUGCCUAAUACAUGCAAGUCGAGCGAACGGACGAGAAGCUUGCUUUUCUUAUGUUAGCGGCGGACGGGUGAGUAACACGUGGAUAACCUACCUAUAAGACUGGGAUAACUUCGGGAAACCGGAGCUAAUACCGGAUAAUAUUUUGAACCGCAUGGUUCAAAAGUGAAAGACGGUCUUGCUGACACUUAUAGAUGGAUCCGCGUUGGAUUAGCUAGUUGGUAAGGUAACGGCUUACCAAGGCAACGAUGCAUAGCCGACCUGAGAGGAUGAUCAGCCACACUGGAACUGAGACACGGUCCAGACUCCUACGGGAGGCAGCAGUAGGGAAUCUUCCUCAAUGGGCGAAAGCCUGACGGAGCAACGCCGCGUGAGUGAUGAAGGUCUUCGGAUCGUAAAACUCUGUUAUUAGGGAAGAACAGAUGUGUGAGUAACUGUGCACAUCUUGACGGUACCUAAUCAGAAAGCCACGGCUAACUACGUG